GGAAAUUGAGUUUGGAUCUGGUUUCCAAUUUUGUCUUGAAACCUUUUCAAAUGGAGAUUAAGGUAAUGGUAUUUAAGUUGGGGGAAAUGGUUGAGCUCUUUCUCCUCUCCUCUUCCCAAGUGUAGACCCAAACUCGAUCACAUUUGCUAUCAUGGUAGGAUCUUGUGGGACUUUCUGUCCUCCCACCAAUUUCAAAUCUUUCUUGGAUUAACACCCUGUCAGCAAAGUUUAGGGAAACACUG
This 242-nucleotide long non-coding RNA is filed under the name Vigna radiata. RNAcentral describes it as "long non-coding RNA (VRAD_LNC016911)". Lineage: Eukaryota; Viridiplantae; Streptophyta; Magnoliopsida; Fabales; Fabaceae. The record is from RNAcentral.